CAGAACUGCCUUCGGUACGGCUCACCCCGCAGGAAGGAUGAAGACACCCUCGUUUCUGUCACCUUAAACACAGUGUGUCAACGGCGCAGCCGGGCCGGCUGCUCCAUGGCAGCCUGCAAAGUAACUGAAACCAAACCGGGUUAGGAGCUCAUGGCUGUCAGCGCUAUCGAUACUAAUAUCUGUUUGUUGUUAUGAGAGAAAAUUGGAUGAAGACUCUGCAAGUCAGGAUUGUUUGUGUGCAAGUCACUGGGCUGCUCGCCCUUUGCAGUUCAUGGCCCAUGAUGUGCCCUCAGCCACCUCUGUCAUCUCCAGCUGAAUAACAGAAGCCUUCCAAUAGGUCCUUAAAGAGAGGUCAAGCCUUGAAAUGCUCACACCUGCGUUUGCAGUCAGGCACCUCAGUGCUCUGAUCAGGAUGCGGUCAUUCUGUUUCCUGCUGCGAUAGAAGUGCUUGUGUAUUUCAGUGGUCACACACCACUGAUGGUUGCAGCAGUGAGGGAGUAUGUAAGGAAGAUCUGAGAAUAUGUGUGUAUAAUUCCAUGGAGGUGAUGGAUACUUUAAAGAAAAAAAAAAUAAAAUCUAAGUUC
Molecule: long non-coding RNA, 584 nt
Organism: Pezoporus occidentalis (night parrot)
Lineage: Eukaryota; Metazoa; Chordata; Aves; Psittaciformes; Psittacidae
Exons: 3
Source: RefSeq, a predicted model, not a curated record